CCAGUGUACACCUUUUCCACUUGCUAAUUAGGCUGUGCAUUAGUGAUAAAGAAGCAUUUGAUUCACUGAGCUCUUCGGGACAGCACCAUCUGGAACCAUGAGGUCUUUUGGAAAUCCCUGUCUUCUUCUAAUUUUCCCCUUGUGUGUUGCUUCAGCGUCAACUGCUGUCAAGUCAGAACCUUUGGAUACUGAAAGUGAACCAAAGAAUGCAUCAACUAGUAAUCCUGUCACAUCACAAUCUGUGCAGACUACAGUUGAAUCAAAGAAUGGAACAUCAGAUUCAACAGACGAAUUGCCUACCUUGUCUACUACUAUAAUCAGUAGAACUACAUUAGUCCCGUCUACAACAGAAAUAUCAUCAACUAGUAAUCCUGUCACACAAUCUGAGCAGACUAUAAUUAAACCAAAGACUGAAUAUCCCACGUCUGGAGUAACCGAAGAAACCAGUGAGAAAAGGAAUAAACCAAAAGAUCAGAGAAUACUGUGGGUCAUAUUACCUGUACUGGUUAUAUUGAUAGCGAUUGUCAUCCUAGCAAUGAAAUCCAAAUUUAUGAAGGUCCACACAAACACAGAUGGAACCGAGAAUGAUACAGAGAAGACCGCCACUUACAAAGAUGGUGUGAUGCUUUUGGGUGUAAAGUCAUCUGGGGGUGAAGAUCCUACAAAAUGA
This 670-nucleotide long non-coding RNA is filed under the name Lepisosteus oculatus (spotted gar). Its description in RNAcentral is "lncRNA (ENSLOCG00000022698.1)". The record is from RNAcentral. Lineage: Eukaryota; Metazoa; Chordata; Actinopteri; Semionotiformes; Lepisosteidae.